UUUGACUUGAGGGUGCUCCUCUGCAAUCUACCAAGGUGCACAAUUUGCAAAAUUACCUACUGCCUCCAAUCCCAGCCUUGUCCCAUCCAUGGGAUUCUCCGUCCUGUUCUGUCUGGGGCCUUAUCUGAUACUGGCAGGACCAUUCCCUGGUGUGUUCAGUUAUGAAGCUGCUCCAGGAUAUUAAAACUUCUACACUGCGAAGUUUUGAGCUGUCAGAGGAGCACAUUCCAGUGGUUCCACCAUGAAGUGACUGCAACAGAAGCCAAGAAAUCCUGCAGGUCAGCUGCCCAUGCUCAGCUGAGAAGAAACCAACACAGAGUUCAGCAGCACUGGCAGCUUUGCUCCAUGCACCCCUGUAAACUUGCUAAAGAAACCUUUCCAGAGCCUUCACCACAGCUGCAAAGCACAAACCCCACAACUGUGCUCUGCCAGAGGAAGAAAGUAAGAAUAUCCUAAGGGAAAAUUCACAGAGGAUCCUAGGAAGUGCUUACUUUCACCUCAGUUUGCACAUGUGUCUAGUAACAAAAUGACAGGUGAGCAAGCAAAAAAACUUGAUUUUUUUUAGGCAAUGUUGUUGUAGAUGAGA
This 586-nucleotide long non-coding RNA is filed under the name Parus major (Great Tit). RNAcentral describes it as "lncRNA (ENSPMJG00000007856.1)". Lineage: Eukaryota; Metazoa; Chordata; Aves; Passeriformes; Paridae. The record is from RNAcentral.